This 460-nucleotide ribosomal RNA is filed under the name uncultured bacterium. RNAcentral describes it as "partial 16S ribosomal RNA". It matches the Rfam family "Bacterial small subunit ribosomal RNA", at positions 338 to 795 of the family's 1533-position model. The record is from RNAcentral.
CCUACGGGCGGCAGCAGUGAGGAAUAUUGGUCAAUGGACGGAAGUCUGAACCAGCCAUGCCGCGUGCAGGAAGACGGCUCUCUGAGUUGUAAACUGCUUUUGUACAAGGGUAAACCUGAAUACGUGUAUUCAGCUGAAAGUACUGUACGAAUAAGGAUCGGCUAACUCCGUGACAGCAGCCCCGGUAAGACGGAGGAUCCAAGCGUUAUCCGGAUUUAUUGGGUUUAAAGGGUGCGUAGGCGGAUUGAUAAGUUAGAGGUGAAAUGUCCGAGCGUAACUCGGGAACUGCCUCUAAUACUGUUGAUGUAGAGAGUAGAGGCGGUAGGUGGAAUGUAUGGUGUAGCGGUGAAAUGCUUAGAGAUCAUACAGAACACCGAUUGCGAAGGCAGCUUACCAAUCUAUAUCUGACGUUGAGGCACGAAAGCGUGGGGAGCAAACAGGAUUAGAUACCCUGGUAGUC